Molecule: ribosomal RNA, 253 nt
Filed under: uncultured bacterium
Lineage: Bacteria
Description: partial 16S ribosomal RNA
Rfam family: Bacterial small subunit ribosomal RNA
Source: RNAcentral
UACGGGGGGGGCAAGCGUUGUUCGGAAUUACUGGGCGUAAAGGGCGCGUAGGCGGCCUUCUAAGUCGGACGUGAAAUCCCUCGGCUUAACCGAGGAGCUGCGUCCGAUACUGAAAGGCUUGAAUCCGGGAGAGGGAUGUGGAAUUCCAGGUGUAGCGGUGAAAUGCGUAGAUAUCUGGAGGAACACCGGUGGCGAAGGCGGCAUCCUGGACCGACACUGACGCUGAGGCGCGAAAGCCAGGGGAGCAAACGGG